UACGGAGGGUGCAAGCGUUGUUCGGAAUCACUGGGCGUAAAGCGCGUGUAGGCGGCCUGUUAAGUCUGAUGUGAAAGCCCGGGGCUCACCCCCGGAAGUGCAUUGGAAACUGGCAGACUCGAGUCCCGGAGAGGAGGGUGGAAUUCCUGGUGUAGCGGUGAAAUGCGUAGAGAUCAGGAGGAACACCGGUGGCGAAGGCGGCCCUCUGGACGGUGACUGACGCUGAGACGCGAAAGCGUGGGGAGCAAACAGG
Molecule: ribosomal RNA, 253 nt
Filed under: uncultured bacterium
Lineage: Bacteria
Description: partial 16S ribosomal RNA
Rfam family: Bacterial small subunit ribosomal RNA
Source: RNAcentral